This 564-nucleotide ribosomal RNA is filed under the name Pichia kudriavzevii. RNAcentral describes it as "eukaryotic LSU rRNA". It matches the Rfam family "Eukaryotic large subunit ribosomal RNA", at positions 79 to 671 of the family's 3401-position model. Lineage: Eukaryota; Fungi; Ascomycota; Pichiomycetes; Pichiales; Pichiaceae. The record is from RNAcentral.
CUCAGUAGCGGCGAGUGACGCGGCAAAGCUCAGAUUUGAAAUCGGGUUUCCUCACGACUUGCAAAUUGCAGGCUGGAGUCUUUGUGGAAGCGUGUGACUGAGUCCCUUGGAACUGGGAGCCGUUGAGGGUGAGAGCCCCGUGAGACGCGUGCGGAAGCUGUAAGGCCCUUCUGACGAGUCGAGUUGUUUGGGAAUGCAGCUCUAAAUGGGUGGUAAAUUCCAUCUAAAGCUAAAUCUUGGCGAGAGACCGAUAGAGAACAAGAACUGUGAAGGAAAGAUGAAAAGCACUUUGAAAAGAGAGUGAAACAGCACGUGAAAUUGUUGAAAGGAAAGGGUAUUGGGCUCGACUUGGGAUUUGCGCACCGCUGCUCCUUGUGGGCGGCGCUCUGUGCUUUUCCUGGGCCAGCAUCGGUUUUUGCCGCAGGAAAAGGGAUGCUGGAAUGUGGCUCUUCGGAGUGUUAUAGGCAGUGCGAGAUGCUGCCUGCGGGGACCGAGGACUGGAACAUCUGUCUCGGAUGCUGGGACAACGGCGCAAUACCGCCCGUCUUGAAACACGGACCAUAA